This 403-nucleotide ribosomal RNA is filed under the name uncultured bacterium. RNAcentral describes it as "partial 16S ribosomal RNA". It matches the Rfam family "Bacterial small subunit ribosomal RNA", at positions 28 to 526 of the family's 1533-position model. The record is from RNAcentral.
GACGAACGCUGGCGGCGUGCCUAAUACAUGCAAGUCGAACGCAGUGGGGACGGGUGAUUAACACGUGGGUAACCUCCCAUCAGAGGGGAUAACACUUGGAAACAGGUGCUAAACCCAUACGGAUUGAUGUACUCGCGGGGCAUUAGCUAGUUGGUGAUGUAACGGCUUACCAAGGCCACGAUGCAUAGCCGAUCUGAGAGGGUGAUAGGCCACACGGGGACUGAGACACGGCCCAGACUCCUACGGGAGGCAGCAGUAGGGAAUCUUCGGCAAUGGACGAAAGUAUGACCGAGCAACGCCGCGUGAGUGAAGAAGGUUUUCGGGUCGUAAAGAUCUGUUGUUAGAGAAGCGGUAUCCAACCAGAAAGCAACGGCUAACUCCGUGCCAGCAGCCGCGGUAAUUC